Oncorhynchus mykiss (rainbow trout) is the source of this 929-nucleotide non-coding RNA. The record is from RefSeq and is a predicted model, not a curated record. Lineage: Eukaryota; Metazoa; Chordata; Actinopteri; Salmoniformes; Salmonidae.
UCCCGCCUCUAGACCAACUUAGUUGUGAGAAAGUCUGUAUCUUUAGAGGAGGUAGCCAUAUGACUGUAUCAUUUAUUGAUAUUCUCCUAAUUAGUGAUUAACUGACGGUUCUUAGCAGGAUUGGGCUAAAUGCUGAAAUAAAAACCUGAGGUGAAGAACUAUCUUUCCCUGCAGUAGAAGUCCAUGUGAGAGGAGAGAGCUGUAUGAUACUAGAAGGACAAGACACCAAUAAGGGGCUCACAGCAGGUGGGCUUUUCUCCUAUCCAGAGCACCAACUGAAACAGACAGAAUGAACAGAGCACGAGGACUGUGUUUCACUUUACUACUACUGGGGUGUGUACAUGGGAGCAAGUCUCCUCAAAGAGAAGUGGUAUUCAGUAGAGGGAUCCAACUCUUUGUUGAAGGUUUGAACCCUUCUAAUCCCUCUGUAGUAAUCCUCUCCUCAUUUGGGCACAACCCUGGUGCUUCAGCUACACUGGUGUGUAUACUCAGUGGUUUAAAAACACACCAUUUGUUGGACAUCAUUUGGUGGAUCAACAACACAGUGGUAACCCCUGAGAACAAUGCCAUUUGGAGUUCCAGGGGAAGUGAUGGCACGUACACAACUACCGGACUGUGGACUAUGUCUGGAAAGGACUGGAAUCCCUAUAGUAACUAUGAGUGUGGAACCAGACAUGAAGGAAAGCAUUAUAGAAAUGGUACACAGCCCUCACUUUGCAUGGAUUUUACUUGAUUACAAAUAUUUGUUAACCUAUCAAAAAUUAUCCUUAGCAUUUCAUGUACAAUCUUUACUAUUAUUAAAGUAUUCAUGAUGUUUCUUGAGUAUUUUAUUGAAAGAUCAGGUAGCCUAGUGGUUAGAGCUUUGGAAUAGUAACUGAAAGGUUGCAAGUUCAAAUCCCUGAGUUGACAAGGUACAAAUCUGUUGUUCU